Molecule: long non-coding RNA, 224 nt
Filed under: Manihot esculenta (cassava)
Lineage: Eukaryota; Viridiplantae; Streptophyta; Magnoliopsida; Malpighiales; Euphorbiaceae
Description: long non-coding RNA (MESC_LNC009205)
Source: RNAcentral
CAUUUCGCCUCCAAACUUAUCAAACAUGCAUCAAACCUAUUCUACAACACUCAUACACAAGCAUACAUGUUCCUAGGGGUCUCAAACCAACAUAAACCCCAUCUACAACACAUCAAGCAUCCACAUUGUUCAAGAACACACAUUUAUACCCAUAAACAUAACCAUAACCUAAACAUGCAUUCUAACCCAUAGAUCUUGCAUAAAACUUAUUUAAAACAUAAAAC